GAUGAACGCUGGCGGCGUGCCUAAUACAUGCAAGUCGAGCGAACAGAUGAUGAGCUUGCUCCGCUGACGUUAGCGGCGGACGGGUGUGUAACACGUGGAUAACCUACCUAUAAGACUGGGAUAACUUCGGGAAACCGGAUCUAAUACCGGAUAAGAUAUUGAACCGCAUUGUUCAAUAGUGAAAUACGGUGUUGCUGUCACUUAUAGAGGGUUCUGCGCCGUAUUAGCUAGUUGGUAAGUUAACGGCCUAUCAAGGCAAGGAGGCGUUGACGAACUGUGUGAGUGAUAGGCGGCACGGGAGGUGGGCCACGGACAAGACUCCUAAGAGAGGCAGCAAUAGGGUAUGUUCCGCAAUGGGCGAAAGCAUGGCGGAGCAACGCCGCGUGAGAGAUGACGGUCUUCGGAGCGUAAAACUCUGUUAUUAGGGAAGAACAACUGUGUAAGUAACUAUGCACGUCUUGACGGUAACUAAUAAGAAAGCCACGGCUAACUACGUG
This 497-nucleotide ribosomal RNA is filed under the name uncultured bacterium. RNAcentral's name for it is "partial 16S ribosomal RNA". It matches the Rfam family "Bacterial small subunit ribosomal RNA", at positions 28 to 507 of the family's 1533-position model. The record is from RNAcentral.